GACGAACGCUGGCGGCGUGCUUAACACAUGCAAGUCGAACGGAAAGGCCCUGCUUUUGUGGGUUGCUCGAGUGGCGAACGGGUGAGUAACACGUGAGUAACCUGCCCUUGACUGUGGGAUAACUUCAGGAAACUGGGGCGAAUACCGGAUAGGAGCUCCUGCUGCAUGGUGGGGGUUGGAAAGUUUCGGCGGUUCGGGAUGGACUCGCGGCUUAUCAGCUUGUUGGGGGGGUAGUGGCUUACCAAGGCUUUGACGGGUAGCCGGCCUGAGAGGGUGACCGGCCACAUUGGGACUGAGAUGCGGCCCCGACUCCUACGGGAGGCAGCAGUGGGGAAUAUUGCACAAUGGGCGGAAGCCUGAUGCAGCAGCGCCGCGUGCGGGAUGACGGCCUUCGGGUUGUAAACCGCUUUCGCCUGUGACGAAGCGUGAGUGACGGUAAUGGGUACAGAAGCACCGGCUAACUACGUG
RNAcentral lists this ribosomal RNA (468 nucleotides) under uncultured bacterium. RNAcentral's name for it is "partial 16S ribosomal RNA". It matches the Rfam family "Bacterial small subunit ribosomal RNA", at positions 28 to 507 of the family's 1533-position model. The record is from RNAcentral.